GUCCACGCCGUAAACGAUGGGCACUAGGUGCUUAGGGGAGCGACCCUCUGGGUACCGGCGCUAACGCAUGAAGUGCCCCGCCUGGGGAGUACGGCCGCAAGGCUGAAACUCAAAGGAAUUGACGGGUGCCCGCACAAGCGGUGGAGCAUGUGGUUUAAUUCGACGCAACGCGCAGAACCUUACCUAGGCUUGACAUGCACGGGAAAGCUGCUGGAAACAGUGGCCCCUCUUCGGAGCCCGUGCACAGGUGCUGCAUGGCUGUCGU
RNAcentral lists this ribosomal RNA (265 nucleotides) under uncultured bacterium. Its description in RNAcentral is "partial 16S ribosomal RNA". It matches the Rfam family "Bacterial small subunit ribosomal RNA", at positions 793 to 1055 of the family's 1533-position model. The record is from RNAcentral.